Long non-coding RNA from Sinocyclocheilus grahami, 584 nucleotides. RefSeq lists it as uncharacterized. The transcript is spliced from 3 exons. The record is from RefSeq and is a predicted model, not a curated record. Lineage: Eukaryota; Metazoa; Chordata; Actinopteri; Cypriniformes; Cyprinidae.
AGCAUCUUGAUAGCGACAAGUAUCAAAAAAGAAAAAUGACAGAUCAGGGUGCAUCUUCGCAAUGUCCCAAGAGCAGCUGAAACAGAUUGUUAAAUUUUGGGUUGGAUGGAAGAUACCCAUGGAUAGCAUGAAAGUGGAGGUGGUUCGAGCAGAAUAUCCCACUUCAUCCACAUGCUUCCGCACCCUUCGCUUACCUGGUUACUACAACAGUUUCAGAGAAUUUAGUGUUCAUUUAGACAACUAGUUCAUUGCCACAAAUGACAGUGGAUUUGGAUUGUUGUAGAAAGUGGAAAGCUCUGAAUUCAAAGGUUAUUUCAUUAAAUUUGGUUUUCUAUUGAAUUGUAACUUAAUAAUUAAAAGAUUCUAAACAUUGUUGAAUAUCUAAGCAUUAAUCAGUUAUUCAUUGUUCCCAGAUGUUGAAAUGUUGGCUUUUAUUGAAAUGAUUUAGAGUUGUACUUGACAUUUGAACUAAUGUAUUUACAAUAAACUUGAUUAAAAACAAACAUGAAGUUGUGUUUGUGAUUGCAUGGAUAAUUAGAGUUCAUACUGAUAACUCUACACAUAGCCAAUGCUGUGCAUAUAGU